UAACACGUAGGAGGCAAGCGUUAUCCGGAUUUACUGGGCGUAAAGCGCGUGCAGGUGGUUUGGUAAGUUGGAUGUGAAAUCUCCCGGCUCAACUGGGAGAGGUCGUUCAAAACUGCUAGACUAGAGGACGGUAGAGGAAGGUGGAAUUCCCGGUGUAGUGGUGAAAUGCGUAGAUAUCGGGAGGAACACCAGUGGCGAAAGCGACCUUCUGGCCCGUUCCUGACACUAAGACGCGAAAGCUAGGGUAGCAAACGGGAUUAGAGACCCCGGUAGUCCUAGCCGUAAACGAUGUCAACUAGGCGUUGGUGGGUUAAUAGCCAUCAGUGCCGCAGCUAACGCGAUAAGUUGACCGCCUGGGGACUACGAUCGCAAGAUUA
Molecule: ribosomal RNA, 377 nt
Filed under: uncultured Anaerolineae bacterium
Lineage: Bacteria; Bacillati; Chloroflexota; Anaerolineae
Description: bacterial SSU rRNA
Rfam family: Bacterial small subunit ribosomal RNA
Source: RNAcentral